UGACCGGUCUAGAGAUAGGCCUUUCCUUCGGGACAGAGGAGACAGGUGGUGCAUGGUUGUCGUCAGCUCGUGUCGUGAGAUGUUGGGUUAAGUCCCGCAACGAGCGCAACCCUUAUGCUUAGUUGCCAGCAGGUCAAGCUGGGCACUCUAAGCAGACUGCCGGUGACAAACCGGAGGAAGGUGGGGAUGACGUCAAAUCAUCAUGCCCCUUAUGACCUGGGCUACACACGUACUACAAUGGCCGGUACAACGGGAAGCGAAGCCGCGAGGUGGAGCCAAUCCUAGAAAAGCCGGUCUCAGUUCGGAUUGUAGGCUGCAACUCGCCUACAUGAAGUCGGAAUUGCUAGUAAUCGCGGAUCAGCAUGCCGCGGUGAAUACGUUCCCGGGUCUUGUACACACCGCCCGUCACACCACGAGAGUUUACAACACCCGAAGUCGGUGAGGUAACCGCAAGGAGCCAGCCGCCGAAGGUGGGGUAGAUGAUUGGGGUGAAGUCGUA
RNAcentral lists this ribosomal RNA (499 nucleotides) under Paenibacillus sp. EKM302P. Its description in RNAcentral is "bacterial SSU rRNA". It matches the Rfam family "Bacterial small subunit ribosomal RNA", at positions 992 to 1490 of the family's 1533-position model. Lineage: Bacteria; Bacillati; Bacillota; Bacilli; Caryophanales; Paenibacillaceae. The record is from RNAcentral.